UACGGGGGGGGCAAGCGUUGUUCGGAAUUACUGGGCGUAAAGCGUGCGCAGGCGGUUUUGUAAGCCAGAUGUGAAAUCCCCGGGCUUAACCUGGGAAUGGCAUUUGGGACUGCAAGGCUAGAGUGUGGCAGAGGAGACUGGAAUUCCUGGUGUAGCAGUGAAAUGCGUAGAUAUCAGGAGGAAUACCGAUGGCGAAGGCAGGUCUCUGGGCUAACACUGACGCUCAUGCACGAAAGCGUGGGGAGCAAACAGG
Molecule: ribosomal RNA, 253 nt
Filed under: uncultured bacterium
Lineage: Bacteria
Description: partial 16S ribosomal RNA
Rfam family: Bacterial small subunit ribosomal RNA
Source: RNAcentral